GACGAACGCUGGCGGCGUGCUUAACACAUGCAAGUCGAACGGAAAGGCCCUGCUUUUGUGGGGUGCUCGAGUGGCGAACGGGUGAGUAACACGUGAGUAACCUGCCCUUGACUUUGGGAUAACUUCAGGAAACUGGGGCUAAUACCGGAUAGGAGCUCCUGCUGCAUGGUGGGGGUUGGAAAGUUUCGGCGGUUGGGGAUGGACUCGCGGCUUAUCAGCUUGUUGGUGGGGUAGUGGCUUACCAAGGCUUUGACGGGUAGCCGGCCUGAGAGGGUGACCGGCAACAUUGGGACUGUGAUACGGCCCAGACUCCUACGGGAGGCAGCAGUGGGGAAUAUUGCACAAUGGGCGGAAGCCUGAUGCAGCAACGCCGCGUGCGGGAUGACGGCCUUCGGGUUGUAACCCGCUUUCGCCUGUGACGAAGCGUGAGUGACGGUAAUGGGUAAAGAAGCACCGGCUAACUACGUG
This 468-nucleotide ribosomal RNA is filed under the name uncultured bacterium. Its description in RNAcentral is "partial 16S ribosomal RNA". It matches the Rfam family "Bacterial small subunit ribosomal RNA", at positions 28 to 507 of the family's 1533-position model. The record is from RNAcentral.